Molecule: transfer RNA, 71 nt
Filed under: Camelus ferus (Wild Bactrian camel)
Lineage: Eukaryota; Metazoa; Chordata; Mammalia; Artiodactyla; Camelidae
Rfam family: tRNA
About the family: Transfer RNA (tRNA) molecules are approximately 80 nucleotides in length. Their secondary structure includes four short double-helical elements and three loops (D, anti-codon, and T loops). Further hydrogen bonds mediate the characteristic L-shaped molecular structure. tRNAs have two regions of fundamental functional importance: the anti-codon, which is responsible for specific mRNA codon recognition, and the 3' end, to which the tRNAs corresponding amino acid is attached (by aminoacyl-tRNA synthetases). tRNAs cope with the degeneracy of the genetic code in two manners: having more than one tRNA (with a specific anti-codon) for a particular amino acid; and 'wobble' base-pairing, i.e. permitting non-standard base-pairing at the 3rd anti-codon position.
Source: Rfam by way of RNAcentral
GAGGGUAUAGCUCAGUGGUAGAGUGCCUGCUUAGCAUGUAUGAGGUCCUGGGUUCAAUUCCCAGUAACUCA